Nylanderia fulva is the source of this 1954-nucleotide non-coding RNA. The record is from RefSeq and is a predicted model, not a curated record. Lineage: Eukaryota; Metazoa; Arthropoda; Insecta; Hymenoptera; Formicidae.
UUAAUAAUUCUUCGUAAUAAAUUUAUUAAUAAUUCCUCGUUAAUAGUAAAAAUCCCAAGUCGACUACAGCAUUUGCACCAUCUCAUAUUAUUGCUAUUGUUAUAUUAUCGUAUACGUACACUGCUCUCUAAAACAUCCUCGCAAACCGGUGUCUAGUCGAAAAUAUUCGAUAAAAGCGAGAAAUGUUCAGAAAAUGAUAUUCUUGUUUCGCGAAGCGCCAGAUUCUCAGAAAUCGUUCGAGGAUCUGAUUCUCAAAAUCGUGUCGAUAAUUUUUUCCCCCAACAAGCAAUAAUUUCGCGACGUCACCGAAAUGUGCGCCCGAGAAUAAAUAAAUCGGCGAAGCUCCUAUGCGAUUUCCGCGAUUUCUCGUCAUUGAAUAUCUAGGUAAACAUAAAGUAUGGCAUAGUGACCAUAAUUCUGGAUUAUCGGCGACUUCUAAGUGCGUUGCGGGGGAAGUCGCCGCAUCAUCGUUCGAUGAGGCCCUUCGAUAAGUGGGCCUUGAAAAAAGCGGCAACGUGAAAACGGAGCAUCGGUUUUAUUCGCGCGCGAAUAAGCUCCCGCGAUUCUCGCGUUUUACCGAAAUGCGUCAAAAGUGUAUCUAAAAUUUCGACGUCGCCGCUCGUCGCGAACGAAAAAAGUAACGCGAGUGCAAAGUGUUUCGAAAACUUCUACGAGGACAGUUCCCAAGGUUGGUUUCCUUCAGAAAAAAUGCCGAUCAGGAAUCCAGAAUACGUCGACACCAGAGAAGAAGGACAAUCGAAAUAUCAACUCUGAUGAUUUUUCCAACUUUUGAGGAGAAGGAGAAAGCAGGUCUGUGAGAGACAUCAGGCGCUGGCGGAGCAACUCUGGGACAACGUAGCUUCGCUAUUAACUCCGCUACUACGGUUGGUGAGUGCUAGUUUUUUAUUAUGAGGUAACGAUUUGGUGUAUAUUUAGUUGUAGAGACGUAAAUUUUAGAUUGUAGAUUGUAAACUGUUGUUUGUAGAUUCGUUAUUUCAAAAUAAGUACACAAUAGAUUAGGAUAUUAACCAUCGUAUAAAGGAAACUAUAUUUGAUCAAAGUGUUAUUGAGUUAAUUAUCCAACAUGACAAGAGCGAAAUUUUUGUCAGAUCCCAUUAUUGUUGAUAUAUUUGUUUGACCGUAAUUUAGCUUUUUAUUUAAUCGUUAGACUACUCUAUAGUAAAAAAACUUUAGUAUGCCAAAUAUUCUUUCUUUAAAUUAAAAGAAUUUAUAUUAAUAAUUUUUGUGAUAAAUUUAAUAAUAAUUUCUCGUUAAUAGUAAAAAUCCCAAGUCGACUACAGCAUUUGCGCCAUCUCAUAUUAUUGCUAUUGUUAUAUUAUCGUAUACGUACACUGCUCUCUAAAACCUUCUCGCAAACCGGUGUCCAGUCGAAAAUAUUCGACAAAAGCGAGAAAUGUUCAUAAAAUGAUAUUCUUGUUUCGCGAAGCGCCAGAUUUUCGAAACUCGUUCGAGGAUCUGAUUCUCGAAAUUGCGACAAUUUUUUUCCCGAACAAGCGAAAUUCCGCGACGUCUCCGAAAUAUGCGCCCGAGAAUAAAUAAAUCGGCGAAGCUCCUAUGCGAUUUCCGCGAUUUCUUCGUCGUCGAAUAUCUAGGUAAACAUAAAGUAUAGCAUAGUGAUCAUAAUUCUGGAAUAUCGGCGACUUCUAAGUGCGUUGCGGUGGAAGUCGCCGCAUCAUCGUUCGAUGAGGCCCUUCGAUAAGUGGGCCUUGAAAAAAGCGGCGACGUGAAAACGGAGCAUCGGUUUUAUUCGCGCGCGAAUAAGCUCCCGCGAUUCUCGCGUUUCACCGAAAUGCGUCGAAAGUGUCAUAUCUAAAAUUUCGACGUCGCCGCUCGUCGCGAACGAAAAAAGUAACGCGAGUGCAAAGUGUUUCGAAAACUUCUACGAGGACAGUUCCCGAGGUUGGUUUCCUUCAGAAAAAAUGCCAGCGAGGAA